Molecule: ribosomal RNA, 653 nt
Filed under: uncultured bacterium
Lineage: Bacteria
Description: bacterial SSU rRNA
Rfam family: Bacterial small subunit ribosomal RNA
Source: RNAcentral
AAAAGGUGGCUAUGCUACCGCUUUUGGAUGGGCCCGCGGCGCAUUAGCUAGUUGGUGGGGUAAAGGCUUACCAAGGCAAUGAUGCGUAGCCGAAUUGAGAGGUUGAUCGGCCACAUUGGGACUGAGACACGGCCCAAACUCCUACGGGAGGCAGCAGUAGGGAAUCUUCCACGAUGGGCGAAAGCCUGAUGGAGCAACGCCGCGUGGGUGAAGAAGGUCUUCGGAUCGUAAAACCCUGUUGUUAGAGAAGAAAGUGCGUGAGAGUAACUGUUCACGUUUCGACGGUAUCUAACCAGAAAGCCACGGCUAACUACGUGCCAGCAGCCGCGGUAAUACGUAGGUGGCAAGCGUUAUCCGGAUUUAUUGGGCGUAAAGGGAACGCAGGCGGUCUUUUAAGUCUGAUGUGAAAGCCUUCGGCUUAACCGGAGUAGUGCAUUGGAAACUGGGAGACUUGAGUGCAGAAGAGGAGAGUGGAACUCCAUGUGUAGCGGUGAAAUGCGUAGAUAUAUGGAAGAACACCAGUGGCGAAAGCGGCUCUCUGGUCUGUAACUGACGCUGAGGUUCGAAAGCGUGGGUAGCAAACAGGAUUAGAUACCCUGGUAGUCCACGCCGUAAACGAUGAAUGCUAAGUGUUGGAGGGUUUCCGCCCUUCA